ACUAGCAUUAAUCACUGCCUCACCGGAUGAACGCACUCAGGUGAGGCUUAAGACAAGCAAGUAGUAUCCGCAUCAGGUCCUUCGGGACGCUGACGAGUGGCGCACGGGUGAGUAACGCGUAUGCAACCUGCCCUGUACAGGGGGAUAGCCCGGAGAAAUCCGGAUUAAUACCCCAUAGUUUUUAUGAGUCGCAUGGCUUAUAAAAUAAAGCUUCGGCGGUACAGGAUGGACAUGCGUGGCAUUAGCUUGUUGGUAGGUAACGGCUUACCAAGGCGACGAUGCCUAGGGGUUCUGAGAGGAUGAUCGCCCACACUGGGACUGAGACACGGCCCAGACUCCUACGGGAGGCAGCAGUGAGGAAUAUUGGUCAAUGGGCGAGAGCCUGAACCAGCCAUCCCGCGUGCAGGAUGACGGCCCUACGGGUUGUAAACUGCUUUUAUGUACCAAGAAUAGGCGCUACGUGUAGCGUUAUGACGGUAGUACAUGAAUAAGCAUCGGCUAACUCCGUGCCAGCAGCCGCGGUAAUACGGAGGAUGCAAGCGUUAUCCGGAUUCAUUGGGCUUAAAGGGUGCGUAGGCGGCUAUAUAAGUCAGUGGUGAAAUGCUGCAGCUCAACUGUAGAACUGCCAUUGAAACUGUAUAGCUUGAGUGCGCCUGAGGUAGGCAGAAUGAGUAGUGUAGCGGUGAAAUGCUUAGAUAUUACUCAGAACACCGAUUGCGAAGGCAGCUUACUAAAGCGUAACUGACGCUGAUGCACGAAAGCGUGGGGAGCGAACAGGAUUAGAUACCCUGGUAGUCCACGCCGUAAACGAUGAUAACUCGCUGUUGGCGAUACACAGUCAGCGGCUAAGCGAAAGCAUUAAGUUAUCCACCUGGGGAGUACGAUCGCAAGGUUGAAACUCAAAGGAAUUGACGCUGGCCCGCACAAGCGGAGGAACAUGUGGUUUAAUUCGAUGAUACGCGAGGAACCUUACCUGGGCUUAAAUGUGGAUUGACCGUUGCCGAAAGGUGACUUCCCUAACGCCCAAUUUACAAGGUGCUGCAUGGUUGUCGUCAGCUCGUGCCGUGAGGUGUCGGGACUGGUCCUGUAACGAGCGCAACCCUUAUCGUCAGUAUGCAACAGGUUAAGCUGAGGACUCUGGCGAGACUGCCACCGUAAGGUGCUUCGAAGGUGGCCAUGACGUCAAAUCAGCACGGCCCUUAUGUCCAGGGCUACACACGUGUUACAAUGGUCGGUACAAAGGGCAGCUACUUGGCAACAAGAUGCUAAUCCCAAAAGCCGGUCUCAGUUCGGAUUGGAGUCUGCAACCCGACUCCAUGAAGCUGGAUUCGCUAGUAAUCGCGCAUCAGCCAUGGCGCGGUGAAUACGUUCCCGGGCCUUGUACACACCGCCCGUCAAACCAUGGAAGCUUGCAGACCUGAAGUCUGCAACCGCAAUGAGCCGUAGGGUAAAGCAAUGA
RNAcentral lists this ribosomal RNA (1459 nucleotides) under uncultured Prolixibacter sp. RNAcentral describes it as "bacterial SSU rRNA". It matches the Rfam family "Bacterial small subunit ribosomal RNA". The record is from RNAcentral. Lineage: Bacteria; Pseudomonadati; Bacteroidota; Bacteroidia; Marinilabiliales; Prolixibacteraceae.